This is an RNA transcript of Harpia harpyja (harpy eagle), 4338 nucleotides long. It is a transcript of the gene named integrin subunit alpha 3, with no coding region annotated. Lineage: Eukaryota; Metazoa; Chordata; Aves; Accipitriformes; Accipitridae. The record is from RefSeq and is a predicted model, not a curated record. The transcript is spliced from 26 exons.
GAGUGCCCGGAAGGGCGCGCGCCCGCCCCGCCCGGCCCCGCCCCCGCCCCGCAGCGCACCGGCCCCGGUGGGGCGCGGUCCGGCGGUGGCGGCUCCGGGAGCCGGUGCGGGACAUGGCGCGGUGCCGCCGGCUGCUGCCGCCGCCUCUUCCUCCUCCUCCUCCUCCUUCUCCGCUGCCGCCGCCGCCGGGGUUGCUGCUGCUGCUGGUGCUGGGCACGGUGCUCGGUGGUGCCGCCGCCUUCAACCUGGACCGCACCUUCCCGGUGCUGAAGGAGGGCGCGACCCCCGACGGCUUCUUCGGCUUCUCGGUAGCGCUGCACCGUCAGACCGAGCGGCGGGAGAGGUGUCUGCUGCUGGUGGGAGCCCCCCGAGAUGCGGAGCCGGCAAACGGCACGCGGACGGGUGCCGUCUACGCCUGCCCCCUCACCGCCUCCACGAGCGACUGCCAACGGCUCGACAUCGAGUUGAAGAGUGAACCGGACAAAGCCAUCAUCGAUGAUAUGUGGCUGGGGGUGACGGUGGCCAGCCAGCGGCAGCCGGCGGGGAGGGUGCUGGCUUGCGCUCACCGUUACACCAAGGUGCUGUGGUCGGGCAGCGAGGACCAGCGGCGUAUGGUGGGCAAGUGCUACGUGCGGGGCAACGACCUGCGCCUCAACAUCAGCGAUGAGUGGCAGACCUACCACAACGAGAUGUGCAACUCCAACACGGACACCGACGAGACCGGCAUGUGCCAAAUGGGCACCAGUGCCGGCUUCACCGCCAACAUCAUCUAUUUCGGGGCGCCCGGUGCCUAUAACUGGCAAGGUACCGACUACAUGCUGCAGCGGGAGAUGUGGGACCUGCACGACUUCUCCUACCCCAACAACAGGAACGGCAAUACUUAUAUAGGGUACACGGCGGAGGUGGGCAGCGCGGUGUUGCAGCAGGACGCGGUGACGGUGGUGACGGGUGCUCCCCGGUACAAGCACAUGGGUGCCGUGUACCUGCUGAGCCGAAGCCCCCAGCAGACGCUGCAGAAGAGCCUCCUCCUCCCCGGGCACCAGGUCGGCUCCUACUUCGGCAGCGCCGUGGCCCUGGCAGACCUCAACAACGACGGGUGGCAAGACCUGGUGGUGGGAGCCCCGUACUACUUCCAGCGGAAGCAGGAGGUGGGGGGGGCAGUGUAUGUCUACAUGAACGAGGUGGGGGGCUUCCAGUCCCAGCCCAGCCUAGUCCUCACCGGCCCCAGCUACUCCGCCUUUGGCUUCGCCGUGGCCAGCAUCGGGGACAUCAACCAGGAUGGCUUUCAGGAUAUCGCUGUGGGGGCUCCUUUCGAGGGGCCCGGCAAGGUCUACAUCUACCACAGCAGCGCAGAAGGGCUGCUGGACAAACCCCGGCAGGUGAUCAGCGGGUUGGAUCUGGACGCCGCCAACAUGCAGACCUUCGGGUAUUCGCUGAGCGGGGGGCUGGACGUGGACGGGAACUCCUACCCCGAUCUCUUGGUGGGCAGCUUGGCGGAGAGGAUCGUCCUGCUCAGAGCUCGACCCGUGAUCAACAUCCUGAACAAAACCUUCACGGUGACACCCAGCAAGGUGGACCCUGCCCGGUGCACGCCUGACUCCUGUAUCACGGUGACCGUCUGCUUCUCCUACAACCAGAGUGCUGGAGACCCCAAGUACAAGGAGAAGAUCACCCUGGAGUACACCCUGGAGGCUGACAAGGACCGGCACCCCCCCAGGGUUAGGUUUUUGGGCACCCACUCUGCCACCUACCGCGGCAUCUUCCCCAUGCCCGAAACCCGCUGUGAAUCCAAGGAGCUCCUGCUGCUGGACAACAUCCGAGACAAGCUGCACCCCAUCGUGCUCUCCAUGAACUACUCGCUGGUGGAGAAGCCCAGGAUCUUCCAGCUGGGCCCCCACUCCCUCGACGCUUUCCCCGUCCUCAACCAGGACCAGUCCCACGAGAAUGAGACCAAGAUCGAGUUCCAGAAGGAAUGCGGCUCCGAUAACAAGUGCUACAGCAACCUCCAGCUCCAGAGCAGCUUUGUCACUGACCAGAACCAGCCCCUGCCCAGGUUGAACGGUACCCAGGUGUUGCAGUACAGCCGGGAUGUGCGGAAGCUCUACCUGAGCAUCAACAUCACCAACGUGCCCACCACCCCCUCCAACGGCGAGGAUGCCCACGAGGCGCUCCUCAACGUCACCGUGCCGGCCAGCUUGCUGCCCUCCUCCGUCCGCCCGAGCGGAGCGUGUACCAUUGCAGAGACGGUGCUGUGCGAGCUGGGCAACCCUUUUAAGAGGAACCAGAGGGCAGAGCUGAUCAUCACCUUCGAGGCCAUUGGGAUCAUGCUGGACACACGGGAGGUCUUGGUGUGGCUGGACCUGUCCACGCAAAGCACCCAGGAGGACCUGCAGCCCGUGCUGGCCAAGUUGCUGGUGGACUACAGCAUCCAGUCCUCGCUGACCAUAGCCUCCUCCCAUGCCCAGUCACACUUCAGCGGGACGGUGGUGGGCGAGUCGGCCAUGCGGAGAGAGCAGGACGUGGGCAGCUCCCUCGCCUUUGAUUUCCAGGUGACCACCAAGGGCGAGUCACUGGGCACCCUGGGCACCAUCCUGCUGGGCUUCGAGUGGCCCUACGAGAUCCCCAACGGCAAAUGGCUCCUCUAUCCCACCGAGAUCCUCGUCAACAGCAACGAGACCUGCCAGCCCCCCGGGGGGGUCAUUAACCCCCUCAACCUCACCCUGCUGGAGGACCAGGUUCCAUCCCGGCAGAGACGAGAGCUGGAGGCCCCCGAGCCGGCAGAGCCCCCCGUCACCCUGGCCACUGCCAAGAAAGCGAAGUCGGAGGUGGUGCUGAGCUGCUCCAAGGGCACCGCUCGCUGCAUCUGGUUCGAGUGCCCCCUCCUUCACACCCAGCACCCCACCACCUUCAGCAUCCGUGCCCGGGUGUGGAACAGCACCUUCAUCGAGGAGUACAGCGAUUUUGACCGGGUGAAGGUGGACGGCACGGCGACGCUCUUCCUCCGGACUCACAUCCCCACCAUCAACAUGAAGAACCACACGGUGCGGUUCUCCGUGGACGUGGACUCGGAGCUGACGGAGGAGCAGCCGGCCGAGAUCGCGCUGUGGCUGGUGCUGGUGGCGGUGGCGGCCGGGUUGCUGCUACUGGGGCUGAUCAUCCUCCUGCUCUGGAAGUGCGGUUUCUUCCGACGGGCCAACACGCGGGCCAUGUACGAAGCCAAGGGGCAGAAGGCGGAGAUGAGAAUCCAGCCGUCGGAAACCAAGCGGCUGACGGAUGACUACUAAUGGGGGGGCCAGCCUUGCUGCCCCCCCUCCGGGCGCCCGCGCCACCCGCUUGUGCGACUUCUUCCAGCGGACCCGCUACUACCGGAUCAUGCCCAAGUACCACGCGGUGAGGAUCCGGCAGGAGCAGCGCUACCAGUCCGGCGGCCUCCUGCCUCGCCGGCGCAAGAAACACUGGGUGACCAAAUGGCAGGAGCCGGAGAAGUACUACUGACCCCCCCACCCGAUCCCCCCCCGGCCUCCCCCGUGCGAGGGGAGCACAAGGGCCGGUGUUUGACUUUGCACAAGUGCAUCUCUCCUUGCCCCAAUCCCCCUUGGCCGUGGCCGCAUCCCAGCGCUGGCUUCUGCACGCUCCUGUCUGCUUCACCGGGCUCGCCAGUGUGCAGCCUGGCUCUUGCACGCUCGUGCCUUGCACACUCAUGGGGAUGAGCCCCAAAUGUGCCCCCCCCCGUUCCCCGAUGUGACCGCUGCUGGUCUCACCACGUGCCUUCUCCCCAUGCAGACACUCCUCCGGCCGUGUCCCACACACGUCCUUGCACACCGGGACACGUCCUGGCACCCUGGGACACACUUGCCACCCCCCCCCACCCCCCCCCCCAUGCAUCCCCCUUCCCUGGGUGCAGGGCUCCCCUCUGCUUUCACCAAGGCUACAUGCGGUGGUGGGGAUGGGGGCGGUGGGACCUUGUUUCUUCCUCCCCUUCCUCCUCCUCCUCCUUCUCUCCAAAGCAGUGCAGGGGCCUGAUCCUGCAUGUUCAUACCCCCCCCCCCCCGAGUCCGCAUAGGCUGCAGCUUUGGCUUGGGGAGGGGGGGCAGAGCAUGAGGCUGUGUCCCCCCACCCCGCAGCCUUAUCCCCCGCUGGGGGUCUGUCCUACCCCACGGACGCUGCCCCGGGCGUUAAGUUAUUCCGUGUCUCUCGUCGGCGUUUUAGUGUUGAGCCCUGGAGCGUGGUCGGUACUGGGGGCUGGGGGGGGGGUCCCUGCACCCCCUGGCCCCCACUCGCCCCCUCCCCUGUGGCCGGGGCCCAAUAAAGCCUCGCUCCGGGAUUUGUAACCUCUUA